Chiloscyllium plagiosum (whitespotted bambooshark) is the source of this 536-nucleotide non-coding RNA. The record is from RefSeq and is a predicted model, not a curated record. Lineage: Eukaryota; Metazoa; Chordata; Chondrichthyes; Orectolobiformes; Hemiscylliidae.
UGACAGUGCAGCCCGGGAGUCGUUCUGCUGCCGUUGGCCAGGUUGAUGUUAUUCCAGGUGGAUCGGACUGGACUUAAGGGCAGCUGGAAUUCUCCUCAGUUGAUGCAGAGUUGAUCUCACACUCAUCUACUUUGAGAUGAUCUUUAUCGGGGAAAUGUCCAAGACUUGUAAAAACAUCUUUGUAAUUUUUUUAAGACCUGUUCAACAACCAGUGACUUCGUGGCCUGCAAAACAUGACAAAUCUCUUCUGGCAUUUUUAGAGUUACUGGUUCAAACUUUAGAUUUACUUCAGCUGAGAAAAGAUUAGCUACAGCUGGACUGAUGCCUCUACAGCACCCUAACUGACCUAUCUAUAAGCAUUGAACUAUUAACUAUAGGACUGUCUGUGAUCCAAUCUCUGGACAGCAAGGACAUGGAUCCUCGGAUUCUGGUGAGCAAAGAUGAGAGCUGUACAGGAAGAAAAAAUUAGGCUGAAAAAAUUCGAAAGAAAAGAAGGAACAAAUAUGUACUGAAGCUUUAAAACAAGAAUAUAAAUA